Molecule: transfer RNA, 75 nt
Filed under: Treponema ruminis
Lineage: Bacteria; Pseudomonadati; Spirochaetota; Spirochaetia; Treponematales; Treponemataceae
Description: tRNA-Gly
Rfam family: tRNA
About the family: Transfer RNA (tRNA) molecules are approximately 80 nucleotides in length. Their secondary structure includes four short double-helical elements and three loops (D, anti-codon, and T loops). Further hydrogen bonds mediate the characteristic L-shaped molecular structure. tRNAs have two regions of fundamental functional importance: the anti-codon, which is responsible for specific mRNA codon recognition, and the 3' end, to which the tRNAs corresponding amino acid is attached (by aminoacyl-tRNA synthetases). tRNAs cope with the degeneracy of the genetic code in two manners: having more than one tRNA (with a specific anti-codon) for a particular amino acid; and 'wobble' base-pairing, i.e. permitting non-standard base-pairing at the 3rd anti-codon position.
Source: RNAcentral
GCGGAAAUAGCGCAGUGGUAGCGCGUCACCUUGCCAAGGUGGAUGUCGCGGGUUCGAAUCCCGUUUUCCGCUCUA